AUUGAACGCUGGCGGCAGGCUUAACACAUGCAAGUCGAGCGAGCGGCGGACGGGUGAGUAACGUGUGGUAACCUACCAAUAAGAGGGGGAUAACAAUUGGAAACGAGAGCUAAAACCGAAUACUAGGAGAUGGACGUGCGUUGGAUUAGCUAGUAGGUAGGGUAAAGGCAGACCAAGGCAACGAUACAUAGCCGACCUGAGAGGGUGAUCAGCCACACUGAGACUGAGACACGGUCCAGACGCCUACGGGAGGCAGCAGUGGGGAAUUUUGCACAAUGGGCGCAAACCUGAUGCAACCAUGCCGCGUGUGUGAAGAAGGCCUUCGGGUUGUAAAGCACUUUCAGCGAGGAGGCGUUACUCGCAGAAGAAGCACCGGCUAACUCCGUGCCAGCCGCCGCGGUAAUUC
RNAcentral lists this ribosomal RNA (406 nucleotides) under uncultured bacterium. RNAcentral's name for it is "partial 16S ribosomal RNA". It matches the Rfam family "Bacterial small subunit ribosomal RNA", at positions 29 to 526 of the family's 1533-position model. The record is from RNAcentral.